Molecule: ribosomal RNA, 387 nt
Filed under: Triticum aestivum (bread wheat)
Lineage: Eukaryota; Viridiplantae; Streptophyta; Magnoliopsida; Poales; Poaceae
Description: partial small subunit ribosomal RNA
Source: RNAcentral
AUGUGGCUUGUAGUCCACGGCCGUUGCUUCACCGCCGACAAUAUCGCCGCGCAGGAGUCAUGCACUCACUUGUUCGUGCACUGUCGCUUCGCGAACGAGGUCUGGACGCGCUUCCGUGGCUGGCUGGGCGCAUCCUUCCCGAUUCCGGCCGGUGGGGACAGGUGCACGGAGGACUGGUGGUUGCAGGCUAGGCAGGCUGCGCCUAAGCAGCUGAGGAGGUAUUUUGAUGUGGUCGUUAUCCUGGUUCAUUGGCGCAUCUGGGAGGACCGCAAUGCUCGCAUCUUCGAGGAAACGGUGGCCGGCCCUACUGAGGUGGUGAGCGCGGCCAUCGAGGACCUCCGAUCCUGGCGUGCGGCUGGCUGCUUUGCCACGGCAGCCACCCUUUAG